UGGGGAAUAUUGCACAAUGGGCGAAAGCCUGAUGCAGCAACGCCGCGUGAGUGAUGAAGGUCUUCGGAUUGUAAAGCUCUGUCUUUUGGGACGAUAAUGACGGUACCAAAGGAGGAAGCCACGGCUAACUACGUGCCAGCAGCCGCGGUAAUACGUAGGUGGCGAGCGUUGUCCGGAUUUACUGGGCGUAAAGGGUGCGUAGGCGGAUGUUUAAGUGAGAUGUGAAAUACCCGGGCUUAACUUGGGUGCUGCAUUUCAAACUGGAUAUCUAGAGUGCAGGAGAGGAGAAUGGAAUUCCUAGUGUAGCGGUGAAAUGCGUAGAGAUUAGGAAGAACACCAGUGGCGAAGGCGAUUCUCUGGACUGUAACUGACGCUGAGGCACGAAAGCGUGGGUAGCAAACAGGAUUAGAUACCCUGGUAGUCCACGCCGUAAAACGAUGAGUACUAGGUGUAGGAGGUAUCGACCCCUUCUGUGCCGCAGUAA
RNAcentral lists this ribosomal RNA (484 nucleotides) under uncultured bacterium. Its description in RNAcentral is "partial 16S ribosomal RNA". It matches the Rfam family "Bacterial small subunit ribosomal RNA", at positions 355 to 854 of the family's 1533-position model. The record is from RNAcentral.